UGCCACGUAGCUCACUGGUUAAGAGCGACGGCAUCAAAGGAUAGAGGAAGGGGUCCGGGUUCAAUUCCCCGGCACGGCAA
Aphanomyces cochlioides is the source of this 80-nucleotide non-coding RNA. The record is from the annotation of a GenBank genome assembly. Lineage: Eukaryota; Oomycota; Saprolegniomycetes; Saprolegniales; Verrucalvaceae.